Molecule: ribosomal RNA, 505 nt
Filed under: uncultured bacterium
Lineage: Bacteria
Description: partial 16S ribosomal RNA
Rfam family: Bacterial small subunit ribosomal RNA
Source: RNAcentral
AUUGAACGCUGGCGGCAGGCUUAACACAUGCAAGUCGAGCGGUAACAGAGAGAAGCUCGCUUCUCUGCUGACGAGCGGCGGACGGGUGAGUAAUGCCUAGGAAUCUGCCUAGUAGUGGGGGAUAACUUGCCGAAAGGUAAGCUAAUACCGCAUACGUCCUACGGGAGAAAGGAGGGGACCUUCGGGCCUUUCGCUAUUAGAUGAGCCUAGGUCGGAUUAGUUAGUUGGUGAGGUAAUGGCUCACCAAGACCGCGAUCCGUAACUGGUCUGAGAGGAUGAUCAGUCACACUGGAACUGGGACACGGUCCAGACUCCUACGGGAGGCAGCAGUGGGGAAUAUUGGACAAUGGGGGAACCCUGAUCCAGCCAUGCCGCGUGUGUGAAGAAGGUCUUAGGAUUGUAAAGCACUUUAAGUUGGGAGGAAGAGCAGUUAACUAAUAUUUGACUGUUUUGACGUUACCGACAGAAUAAGCACCGGCUAACUUCGUGCCAGCCGCCGCAGUAA